UACGGAGGGUGCAAGCGUUAUCUGGAUUCACUGGGUUUAAAGGGUGCGUAGGUGGGCAAGUAAGUCAGUGGUGAAAUCUCCGGGCUUAACCCGGAAACUGCCAUUGAUACUAUUUGUCUUGAAUACUGUGGAGGUCAGCGGAAUAUGUCAUGUAGCGGUGAAAUGCUUAGAUAUGACAUAGAACACCAAUUGCGAAGGCAGCUUACUAUGGUGUCAUUGACACUGAGGCACGAAAGCGUGGGGAUCAAACAGG
This 253-nucleotide ribosomal RNA is filed under the name uncultured bacterium. Its description in RNAcentral is "partial 16S ribosomal RNA". It matches the Rfam family "Bacterial small subunit ribosomal RNA", at positions 524 to 776 of the family's 1533-position model. The record is from RNAcentral.